RNAcentral lists this ribosomal RNA (253 nucleotides) under uncultured bacterium. Its description in RNAcentral is "partial 16S ribosomal RNA". It matches the Rfam family "Bacterial small subunit ribosomal RNA", at positions 524 to 776 of the family's 1533-position model. The record is from RNAcentral.
GACGGGGGAUGCAAGUGUUAUCCGGAAUCACUGGGCGUAAAGCGUCUGCAGGUGGUUUCCUAAGUCCACUGUUAAACCUUGAGGCUCAACCUCAAAUCUGCAUUGGAAACUAGGAAACUUGAGUAUAGUAGGGGUAGAGGGAAUUUCCAGUGGAGCGGUGAAAUGCGUAGAUAUUGGAAAGAACACCGAUGGCGAAGGCACUCUACUGGGCUAUUACUGACACUCAGACGCGAAAGCGUGGGGAGCAAACAGG